This 494-nucleotide ribosomal RNA is filed under the name uncultured Eubacteriales bacterium. Its description in RNAcentral is "bacterial SSU rRNA". It matches the Rfam family "Bacterial small subunit ribosomal RNA", at positions 28 to 523 of the family's 1533-position model. The record is from RNAcentral. Lineage: Bacteria; Bacillati; Bacillota; Clostridia; Eubacteriales.
GACGAACGCUGGCGGCGCGCCUAACACAUGCAAGUCGAGCGAUGAAAGUUGUUUUGAUCCUUCGGGUGACGAACUUCUGGAUUAGCGGCGAACGGGUGAGUAACGCGUGAGGAACCUGCCUCUUACAACGGGAUAGCCUCGGGAAACCGGGAUUAAUACCGUAUAAGACUCCGACAUCUCAUGAUGAUGAAGUCAAAGCGUUAGCGGUAAGAGAUGGCCUCGCGUCUGAUUAGCUGGUUGGCGGGGUAACGGCCCACCAAGGCGGCGAUCAGUAACCGGCCUGAGAGGGUGAACGGUCACAUUGGAACUGAGACACGGUCCAAACUCCUACGGGAGGCAGCAGUGGGGAAUCUUGCACAAUGGGGGCAACCCUGAUGCAGCGACGCCGCGUGAGCGAUGAAGGUUUUCGAAUCGUAAAGCUCCGUCCUAUGGGAAGAUAAUGACGGUACCAUAGGAGGAAGCCCCGGCUAACUACGUGCCAGCCGCCGCGGUAA